CAUUUCCUCAAUAUUACAAAAUUGCUUAUUUAGACUUCUUUUACUUGAUUCUUCUUUUAGAUAUCAUCUUUUGACUUCUCGUUUACCAUGGAAGGUGAAAAUUGGCUCUGGGAGAUUUGGAUAUUCUUGACUAAUGCAGUAUACAUAUUGCUGACUUCCUGAUUAGUAUCAAGAAUCAGAAUUGCCCAGAGACGUGAUCUUGAGGCACACACAGCUGUCAGAGAUUAUCUUCCCACCAUCACAGCCAGACAUUUCCAAAGGUGCAUGAAAAUGACUUACAGUUUGAAAACCUGCUUCCUACUGUUCUCAAAGAUAAAAUGCUGUGGAGGCUGUUAAUGGACCUCAAGGAGUUGCUGCAACAUCAGGAAGAUACUUCUGGGAAGUGUUUACAUGGAAUAACUUGUAUCUGCAGCAGGACAUACUUGACCAAAUAUAAGGAAGAUCCCUUUGUCUAGGAUUUUCUAGGUGUGCCAUAUUGAGAUAUGUAACCAUGAAAGAUCACAGAAACUCAUUCUUUCAACCAUAAUGAAAAUAUAUAUAGAAUUCUCCUUCCUGAAUAAUUUAAAUGUGAAAAAUAGUACUGGUGAGGGCUGUGUAGUAAACCUGUGCUACACUUUCAUUAAUAAUCUAGAUGACAGAAUAGAUUGAAAAACAGCUUCGUUUCCAGACCUCUGUACCAUCACAGAGGGUGCAAGAGGCAAGUAGUCCAG
Molecule: long non-coding RNA, 710 nt
Organism: Heterocephalus glaber (naked mole-rat)
Lineage: Eukaryota; Metazoa; Chordata; Mammalia; Rodentia; Bathyergidae
Source: Ensembl